Long non-coding RNA from Ictalurus punctatus (channel catfish), 417 nucleotides. Lineage: Eukaryota; Metazoa; Chordata; Actinopteri; Siluriformes; Ictaluridae. The record is from Ensembl.
GAAAAAGCUGCAGCGGGUAUCUCCUGAGCAGUUGAGUUAUUACACCGAACUAAUCAUCUCCAGAUUAAAUUAUUUCUGACAGUUUUACAGUUAGAUUUGAUCCAGUUUAAAAGUAAAAGCUGGUUAUUUUGUCUGUGUUUGAGGAAUUAAAACUCCGUUCUGUUUUUAAACCCGAGGUGCAGUCUUUGGAUACUGAUGAAGAUUUACUGCCCUGCAAGAUCUUCCUCAACUGCAUAGUCUGGAGCGAAGGAUGCAACAGAGCCCAGAUUACAAGCAAAAACUGGGCGGAUGUGCUCGACUGCACCUGGCGCAUACUGAAGAGGGUGAUUGCUAACUCCCUGGCAAAGAAUCUCAAUUGGAGGGGAGUCAAUGGAAAGACUUCACUCUCCGCUCUCCAACUCGGAGAGGUCGUGAUUG